UACUUCUUAAUUUACAAUUCCUGGUUCAUCGCGAUUAAAGAACCAUUCUGUGUACGUGUGUAUUUAUGUAUGUAUGUAUGUAUCGCAUGUGUAUGUAAACUAAUAUUUUAAAAUAUUUACACUAUAAGCGAGAACUUUCUAGAAUCAUUUAAUUCCAAGUUAUUAUAAUAUGUCACCUAGUGAAAAGUAAAAUUAGCCGACGGAGAGAAUUGGAUGAUAGGGUAUGCGAGAGAAUCAUAUUAUCACUGAGAUGAUGACCCCGAGUAGAAGACCCUGUAAAUGUAUUAUGUAUAUAUAUAUAUAUAUAUAUCACAACAUUUCCUCGAACACCGGAAGCCGAAAAUUGGUGCACUACUAUUUUCAUUCGCUCCACGUGUCAGCAACGACGACGGGCCCGAGUUCAUCAAAAUGUCCGAAACGCGGCCGACAAUUUAUAAUUUUGUUAUAUCGUUUUUCCG
Molecule: non-coding RNA, 458 nt
Organism: Cinara cedri
Lineage: Eukaryota; Metazoa; Arthropoda; Insecta; Hemiptera; Aphididae
Source: the annotation of a GenBank genome assembly